This 86-nucleotide transfer RNA is filed under the name Bacillota bacterium. Its description in RNAcentral is "Firmicutes bacterium (anaerobic digester metagenome) tRNA-Leu". It matches the Rfam family "tRNA". Rfam says of the family: Transfer RNA (tRNA) molecules are approximately 80 nucleotides in length. Their secondary structure includes four short double-helical elements and three loops (D, anti-codon, and T loops). Further hydrogen bonds mediate the characteristic L-shaped molecular structure. tRNAs have two regions of fundamental functional importance: the anti-codon, which is responsible for specific mRNA codon recognition, and the 3' end, to which the tRNAs corresponding amino acid is attached (by aminoacyl-tRNA synthetases). tRNAs cope with the degeneracy of the genetic code in two manners: having more than one tRNA (with a specific anti-codon) for a particular amino acid; and 'wobble' base-pairing, i.e. permitting non-standard base-pairing at the 3rd anti-codon position. Lineage: Bacteria; Bacillati; Bacillota. The record is from RNAcentral. RNAcentral also lists the same sequence under 1 other name.
GCGAGCGUGGCGGAAAGGCAGACGCGCCAGGUUCAGGACCUGGUGGGUGUAUACCCGUGGAGGUUCAACUCCUCUCGCUCGCACCA